Molecule: ribosomal RNA, 497 nt
Filed under: uncultured bacterium
Lineage: Bacteria
Description: partial 16S ribosomal RNA
Rfam family: Bacterial small subunit ribosomal RNA
Source: RNAcentral
GAUGAACGCUGGCGGCGUGCCUAAUACAUGCAAGUCGAGCGAACGGACGAGGAGCUUGCUUCUCUGACGUUAGCGGCGGACGGGUGGGUAACACGUGGAUAACCUACCUAUAAGACUGGGAUAACUUCGGGAAACCGGAGCUAAUACCGGAUAAUAUAUUGAACCGCAUGGUUCAAUAGUGAAAGACGGUUUUGCUGUCACUUAUAGAUGGAUCCGCGCCGCAUUAGCUAGUUGGUAAGGUAACGGCUUACCAAGGCAACGAUGCAUAGCCGACCUGAGAGGGUGAUCGGCCACACUGGAACUGAGACACGGUCCAGACUCCUACGGGAGGCAGCAGUAGGGAAUCUUCCGCAAUGGGCGAAAGCCUGACGGAGCAACGCCGCGUGAGUGAUGAAGGUCUUCGGAUCGUAAAACUCUGUUAUCAGGGAAGAACAAAUGUGUAAGUAACUGUGCACAUCUUGACGGUACCUAAUCAGAAAGCCACGGCUAACUACGUG